Molecule: long non-coding RNA, 521 nt
Filed under: Marmota monax (woodchuck)
Lineage: Eukaryota; Metazoa; Chordata; Mammalia; Rodentia; Sciuridae
Source: RNAcentral
UGAGAAAUUGCUUCCCUGAAGCCUCCUUCAUUGCCCUGGGGAUUAUAUACCCUUGACCUUCAAGACAAUAUUCUUUACCUGUCCACAGGUGGUAGGCUCAGGCUUUUAUAUAACUGCACUCAAGUGCCUCAGAGUUUUCUUUCUUUAACUGAGGUUAGGAAAUCUGAAAACACAGAACUUCAUUGCUUUCUAGCCCGGCUGUGGAUCAAAAUUACCCACGCACCUUAAAAGAACAUACAGAUACCUGGAUGCUUCCCUGAAAGAAUUCUACUGCAGAGGAUCAGGAUCGUGUCAGACUACUGAGGAUGCUGUCAGCAAAUCCCAGCUCUGGAGACAAAAGAGAGAUCAAGGGAGAACUUACAAAAAGAGGUCAGAGACACACUGGGUGUGAACUUGGGUUACCCACACUCCCAUCAAACACGUGCUGAAACAAAUGACAGAGAAGAUUGGAGACACUGGGGGACAAUUGAAAUUUUGACAACCAGGACCUAUGAUGAAUUUAGGACAUGUUUAGAUGUAAU